CUUUAGAAGAUCCGGAGGCAGCUCGGCCAUGCAUACAUCCCACAGUCUAGAGAGCAGGAAGACACCAUGAAAUGAAGAGCCUCCUCUUCCAUAAACAGCUGGACUCCUCAGAGGCCCACUGCAACGGAGUCACAAUGAUUGAGGCCUCAGAAACCAUGUGUGGGUCGGGGUGCUCAUUCUCAGAAGCAAGCAUCCCAUCCACAGCCCUGGAGCAGCUGUGGAGGCAAACUUAAAAUGCCCAAGAGGGCACUCUGAAUAUGCUCCACACCCUUGGAAGUCUACCACAUUCCUCUCUGAAGAGCUGUGUCUAUGAAUGAUGCAAACAGAAUCUUUGCAGGAAGUGUGCUACCGGGCUCUGAGCAGUCAGUGGGGAGGCAAACAGAUGCCAUAGCAUGCUACAUGGAGAUCAGAAGACAACCAGCAUUAUUUAGUUUUCUCACCACACCAUGUGGAUCGUGGGACUCAAUUAAGGUUAUCAGGUUUGGCUGAAAGAACGUUUACCCAAUGAGUGAUGUCUCCAGCACCACCUCCUUAUAUUUCAGGACCAUGUGAUUCCCAUCAUGCACCAUGAAAAAAUGCAAGUGUAUC
RNAcentral lists this long non-coding RNA (588 nucleotides) under Mus musculus (house mouse). RNAcentral's name for it is "predicted gene, 34684". Lineage: Eukaryota; Metazoa; Chordata; Mammalia; Rodentia; Muridae. The record is from RNAcentral.